UACAGAGACUGCAAGCGUUAUUCGGAUUCACUGGGCGUAAAGGGUGCGCAGGCGGCCAAGUGUGUUAGGCGUGAAAGCCCGAGGCUUAACCUCGGAAUUGCACCUAAAACUACAUGGCUAGAGUACUGGAGAGGGUAACGGAAUUCACGGUGUAGCAGUGAAAUGCGUAGAUAUCAGGAGGAACACCUGCGGUGUAGACGGCUUUCUGGACCAUUGCUGACGCUGAGACACGAAAGCGUGGGUAGCAAACAGG
This 253-nucleotide ribosomal RNA is filed under the name uncultured bacterium. Its description in RNAcentral is "partial 16S ribosomal RNA". It matches the Rfam family "Bacterial small subunit ribosomal RNA", at positions 524 to 776 of the family's 1533-position model. The record is from RNAcentral.